Molecule: ribosomal RNA, 238 nt
Filed under: uncultured bacterium
Lineage: Bacteria
Description: partial 16S ribosomal RNA
Rfam family: Bacterial small subunit ribosomal RNA
Source: RNAcentral
CGGAACGGGUGAGUAACGCGUGAGGAACCUGCCUCAAAGAGGGGGACAACAGUUGGAAACGACUGCUAAUACCGCGUAAGCCCACAGCUCGGCAUCGAGCAGAGGGAAAAGGAGCAAUCCGCUUUGAGAUGGCCUCGCGUCCGAUUAGCUAGUUGGUGAGGUAACGGCCCACCAAGGCGACGAUCGGUAGCCGGACUGAGAGGUUGAACGGCCACAUUGGGACUGAGACACGGCCCAG